This 440-nucleotide ribosomal RNA is filed under the name uncultured bacterium. RNAcentral describes it as "bacterial SSU rRNA". It matches the Rfam family "Bacterial small subunit ribosomal RNA", at positions 338 to 795 of the family's 1533-position model. The record is from RNAcentral.
CCUACGGGACGCACCAGUGGGGAAUAUUGGACAAUGGGCGCAAGCCUGAUCCAGCCAUGCCGCGUGAGUGAUGAAGGCCUUAGGGUUGUAAAGCUCUUUUGUCCGGGACGAUAAUGACGGUACCGGAAGAAUAAGCCCCGGCUAACUUCGUGCCAGCAGCCGCGGUAAUACGAAGGGGGUUAGCGUUGCUCGGAAUCACUGGGCGUAAAGGGCGCGUAGGCGGCCGAUUAAGUCGGGGGUGAAAGCCUGUGGCUCAACCACAGAAUUGCCUUCGAUACUGGUUGGCUUGAGACCGAAAGAGGACAGCGGAACUGCGAGUGUAGAGGUGAGAUUCGUAGAUAUUCGCAAGAACACCAGUGGCGAAGGCGGCUGUCUGGUCCGGUUCUGACGCUGAGGCGCGAAAGCGUGGGGGGCAAACAGGAUUAGAUACCCGCGUAGUC